Chiloscyllium plagiosum (whitespotted bambooshark) is the source of this 816-nucleotide non-coding RNA. The record is from RefSeq and is a predicted model, not a curated record. Lineage: Eukaryota; Metazoa; Chordata; Chondrichthyes; Orectolobiformes; Hemiscylliidae.
UAAAAAAGUGGCUCUGUCUCUUGAGGAAGCAAAAGAAAAUGUCAAAAUUUGCUAAAACUGUCAGUUGAUGCUUUCUCAAACAUGAUUUCAUCACUGAUAUAUACAAUUAGCUUCACAUGAUGUGGGUGAUCCAGGAUGGUAUAAAAUCAGCACUGCAAAGCAAAUGGUAUUCAGACACCUCUUCAGACUGAACACAACAGGAACUGAAGUCAACAGUAAAAGUUCAUCCUAAGAUGGAGAGCAACAACCCCAACUCAUCUAACAUCCAAUCGUAUAAAUAUUGGUCGUUUUUCAGUCUCUUCUGCUGCUGUUUGCCACUCGGUGUAUUAGCAACAAUUUACUCAUUUCAGUCUGAAAAUGCAGGCAAUGCUGGAAAUUUUACUGAAGCACAGAAAUCAUCUAACAUCGCAAAGUAUUUGAAUAUAGCUGCUUUGGUGAUCGGUCUCAUUAUUAUCAUAACAAUCAUUGCCAUCAACGCUUCAGCACUAUCAAAAGCUCAUUAAUAACUAAAACAAAUGAAAGAAGAUCUAAAUGCAUUUAUGAUUAAUAUGGAAUGAGAUGAAGUGCUCACUCAUUUAUGUUGAAACAGAAUUGUGAAUAAAAAGAAAUUAUUCAAUCAUAUGAAGAAAGAAAUGUCAAAUAAAUUAAUUAUAAAAUGUAUGUCGCAGUCAGUGACAAUGAUUCACUGAACUUUCCGUAUGUUUCCUGUUAACAAGUACAAAUCAAUAAACUGAAACAAUCUAUUUGUAAUACAAGUAUUGUAUUCUUCUAUCACAAACACGGCAAUUCCAAAAUAAAAUGAAACCUUCAAUGUUA